This 497-nucleotide ribosomal RNA is filed under the name uncultured bacterium. Its description in RNAcentral is "partial 16S ribosomal RNA". It matches the Rfam family "Bacterial small subunit ribosomal RNA", at positions 28 to 507 of the family's 1533-position model. The record is from RNAcentral.
GAUGAACGCUGGCGGCGUGCCUAAUACAUGCAAGUCGAGCGAACGGACGAGAAGCUUGCUUCUCUGAUGUCAGCGGCGGACGGGUGAGUAACACGUGGAUAACCUACCUAUAAGACUGGGAUAACUUCGGGAAACCGGAGCUAAUACCGGAUGAUAUUUUGAACCGCAUGGUUCAAAAGUGAAAGACGGUCUUGCUGUCACUUAUAGAUGGAUCCGCGCUGCAUUAGCUAGUUGGUAAGGUAACGGCUUACCAAGGCAACGAUGCAUAGCCGACCUGAGAGGGUGAUCGGCCACACUGGAACUGAGACACGGUCCAGACUCCUACGGGAGGCAGCAGUAGGGAACCUUCCGCAAUGGGCGAAAGCCUGACGGAGCAACGCCGCGUGAGUGAUGAAGGUCUUCGGAUCGUAAAACUCUGUUAUUAGGGAAGAACAUAUGUGUAAGUAACUGUGCACAUCUUGACGGUACCUAAUCAGAAAGCCACGGCUAACUACGUG